This 253-nucleotide ribosomal RNA is filed under the name uncultured bacterium. RNAcentral's name for it is "partial 16S ribosomal RNA". It matches the Rfam family "Bacterial small subunit ribosomal RNA", at positions 524 to 776 of the family's 1533-position model. The record is from RNAcentral.
UACGGAGGGAGCUAGCGUUGUUCGGAAUUACUGGGCGUAAAGCGCACGUAGGCGGCUUUGUAAGUUAGGGGUGAAAGCCUGGAGCUCAACUUCAGAAUUGCCCUUAAGACUGCAUCGCUUGAAUCCAGGAGAGGUGAGUGGAAUUCCGAGUGUAGAGGUGAAAUUCGUAGAUAUUCGGAAGAACACCAGUGGCGAAGGCGGCUCACUGGACUGGUAUUGACGCUGAGGUGCGAAAGCUAGGGGAGCAAACAGG